RNAcentral lists this small RNA (625 nucleotides) under Pan troglodytes (chimpanzee). RNAcentral's name for it is "processed transcript". The record is from RNAcentral. Lineage: Eukaryota; Metazoa; Chordata; Mammalia; Primates; Hominidae.
AAGUGCGGGUGCGCAUCUGGUGCGGAGUAGGAGGUAGGAUGUGGGCUGCGAGUGCCAUGAAUUGUGUGGGGCCAAGCAGGGGAAAGGUGUGUAGGAACUUGGUGUGUGUGUGCAGUAGCUGAGCCACGGCCACCGGGUUGAGCAGCUUGGCUUGGCUGGAGCUAAGAGCCAGACACACCACUGUGUGGAGGUGGGUGAUGUCUUCCUGUGCUAAAAGGUGAAUAAAUAAGCUCCUCACCUCUCGCGGAACACUCAGGAACACAUCAACAGGGGUCCAAGCCGCCCUGCUGGGAGGCUUCUCUUCAAGAGUUCUGGGUGCCAGAGUGGAAGGCAUUUUCCCAUCAACUGGAGAGAGACGAAACAUCAGAGACCAGGAGGCUGUGGAGAAAGCAGCUGUCCCAGGUGCCUCAACUAUCAGAGGAGGGUCAGCGUCACGUGGCUGCCAGCAUCUUUGAGAAAAUCACUGGCAAUCGGACUUCAGAGCUGCGGGCACAGGUGUGGUUAGAACUGAGAUACGACCUGCCCACCUGGGUCAGGCCUAAAGACAAGAAGUCCUGAGUUCUUGCCACUGAGUAGGCCAGGGUCAUUUGUCCAGAAAACUUUGUGACUGUCUUUGAGUGACCUA